GGAAAUGCUUUGCUAUGGCAUGAUUUUACGUUAGUUUUUUGCCUGCAGCAGUCAGUUGACAAAUUGGACGCCGAAAAGGGACUGAGGAUGCCGAGGAUGUGGGUGCACGAGGGUGCCACCAUGGCAACCUGAUCCAGAACAAAGUGAAAAAAAAGAUGCUACGUGGGUUAGAUUGUGCUCCUUUAGAGUGUGUGCAAGUGUGGGAAUCUGAGCCAGGAAGAAGAAGUCGGGGAUAGUGGUAGUGGAUCAGGUGAAGAC
This 258-nucleotide long non-coding RNA is filed under the name Physcomitrium patens. RNAcentral describes it as "long non-coding RNA (PPAT_LNC000884)". Lineage: Eukaryota; Viridiplantae; Streptophyta; Bryopsida; Funariales; Funariaceae. The record is from RNAcentral.